This 210-nucleotide ribosomal RNA is filed under the name Triticum aestivum (bread wheat). RNAcentral's name for it is "partial small subunit ribosomal RNA". The record is from RNAcentral. Lineage: Eukaryota; Viridiplantae; Streptophyta; Magnoliopsida; Poales; Poaceae.
AUGUACCCAGUGGCUUGGGCUGUGGUGGAGAAAGAAACCAAUGAAAGCUGGAAGUGGUUUAUUGCUCUGUUAAUCAAAGAUUUGGAUAUUAAUGACCAAGGAGCAGACUGGGUUUUCAUUUCUGAUCAACAGAAGGUAAUGACUUGCUUGCUUUGCUUGCUUUACUUACAUAUUAAUGACAUGCUUGCCUUGCUUGCUUUACUUACUUGA